Molecule: long non-coding RNA, 1388 nt
Organism: Stomoxys calcitrans (stable fly)
Lineage: Eukaryota; Metazoa; Arthropoda; Insecta; Diptera; Muscidae
Exons: 4
Source: RefSeq, a predicted model, not a curated record
UUCAAUUUGAAAGACGAUUGGUGUUAGACGUGUCAAAAAAAUAUUUUAUACGAAGAGAAAAAAAAAAAAAAUUCGAAGAUUUAAUUGAAUAAUUUUUAAGGAGAUAAAAGGAUUACGAGCAUACCACAUCAACUUAUUUUUAAAUUUCGGACGACGAAAUUAAUUUUUCAACUAAUUUUUAUUUUGCUGUUGUUUGGAUCGCCGAUUCUUCUGUGAAUCGGCGCUGUCCACGAACAAAAGAAGAGGAAAACUCCAAUCUCAAAUUAUCUGUAUUGGUCCCAAAUUUCCUUAGACAUCAAUCCCCUAAUUAUUAUAUAAUCGGUCCCAAAGACCAAUUGAUGCCUUUUAAAGGCGGAUAUUGAGAUUUUUGAUUCUACUGAUAUCAAGACCGGAGUCUUCUAAUCGAUGGUUUGAAUAGAGCUCCAAGAACCCAAAAUUGGCCUAAUACCCUGACUCGUCAAAUCAAUACAUCAAAUGCUAGAGUCUUCCCGUCCAUAGUUUUAUUGGAGCCCAAUGGACACAGCAUUUCCCAAUUACCGAAUUGUGUCAAUUAAAGAAUCCUGGGGAUUCUCAUUCUUUUUCAAUUGGAGAUAAAACAAGAAUAAUGUAUAGUAGGGAUUCUCAUUCUUUUUCAAUUGGAGAUAAAACAAGAAUAAUGUAUAGUAUAUACAUUUAUUUUAUUUUCCCCAUUAUUACAUACAAGACAAUUAUUAAAUUUAUAUGUUACUUUGGCGCACGAGCAAAGCAAAUUUGAAGCCUUAACUUUUAUAACCACCCAGAACUAUAGCAAUUUCAAAUCCCACGUCUGAAGGCCUAAGGACAUCAUGGAUAUUAGCUGGUACCUUAUUUUUACUUUUAUGGCAGCAAAACCAAGCCUAGUUCCAACGGGAAAGAACCGCCCCAGGACUGAGCACGGCCGGCGGCGAGGAGGUAGCGACUCCAAGAGGAAUAAGGGCCCAAGGUGGUGGUUCGUUACAUAAAUUAAAUGGCGCCCAGCGUGGGGCCUGCAACUGGUCGUUUUCAGACUUUCACAGAAUCCGAUAAACCAGUAAUGUGUCACCUAAAUGAUGAUGAUACCAGAUUUAUUUAGAAGGAUAUCUUUGAAAACUUUUUCGGUGACUUUUGGUUUGUGGAAAUGUUGCUGCGAAAUCAUACACCGGAACGGAAUAAAUGAUAACUUUUAUUUAUUUCCUUAUCUUCUCUUAUCCUUUUCUUUUUCUUUCAUUUCCUUGGGAUUUUAAAUACGGAUUGAAUUAGCUGAUUUUUAUUGGUUUCUUACCUAGGCGAAAACUCGAGGAACUUUGUUGUUGAACAUGGUGUUUCAUUAAGGAUUUGUGUUUUUUUUAACUAUUUUGCUAAAAAAACAUAUCUUGUGAAGAUGAUCUCAG